Molecule: ribosomal RNA, 497 nt
Filed under: uncultured bacterium
Lineage: Bacteria
Description: partial 16S ribosomal RNA
Rfam family: Bacterial small subunit ribosomal RNA
Source: RNAcentral
GAUGAACGCUGGCGGCGUGCCUAAUACAUGCAAGUCGAGCGAACGGACGAGAAGCUUGCUUCUCUGAUGUUAGCGGCGGACGGGUGAGUAACACGUGGAUAACCUACCUAUAAGACUGGGAUAACUUCGGGAAACCGUAGCUAAUACCGGAUAAUAUUUUGAACCGCAUGGUUCAAAAGUGAAAGACGGUCUUGCUGUCACUUAUAGAUGGAUACGCGCUGCAUUAGCUAGUUGGUAAGGUAACGGCUUACCAAGGCAACGAUGCAUAGCCGACCUGAGAGGGUGAUCGGCCACACUGGAACUGAGACACGGUCCAGACUCCUACGGGAGGCGGCAGUAGGGAAUCUUCCGCAAUGGGCGAAAGCCUGACGGAGCAACGCCGCGUGAGUGAUGAAGGUCUUCGGAUCGUAAAACUCUGUUAUUAGGGAGGAACAUAUGUGUAAGUAACUGUGCACAUCUUGGCGGUACCUAAUCAGAAAGCCACGGCUAACUACGUG